UACGUAGGGGGCAAGCGUUGUCCGGAAUCAUUGGGCGUAAAGAGCGUGUAGGCGGCUCAAUAAGUCUGCUGUGAAAGUCCAGGGCUCAACCCUGGAAGGCCGGUGGAAACUGUCGGGCUAGAGUCCGGAAGAGGCGAGUGGAAUUCCCGGUGUAGCGGUGAAAUGCGCAGAUAUCGGGAGGAACACCAAUGGCGAAGGCAGCUCGCUGGGACGGUACUGACGCUGAGACGCGAAAGCGUGGGGAGCAAACAGG
This 253-nucleotide ribosomal RNA is filed under the name uncultured bacterium. Its description in RNAcentral is "partial 16S ribosomal RNA". It matches the Rfam family "Bacterial small subunit ribosomal RNA", at positions 524 to 776 of the family's 1533-position model. The record is from RNAcentral.